AGAAUCAACGCUGGCGGCGUGCCUAACACAUGCAAGUCGAACGCGAAAGGGGCUUCGGCCCUGAGUAGAGUGGCGAACGGGUGAGUAACACGUGGGUGAUCUACCUUCGAGUGGGGGAUAACGUUCCGAAAGGAGCGCUAAUACCGCAUGACGUUCCGGGUUUGAAGACCUGGAAACCAAAGCCGGGGACCGCAAGGCCUGGCGCUAGAAGAGGAGCCCGCGCCUGAUUAGCUAGUUGGUGGGGUAAUGGCUCACCAAGGCGACGAUCAGUA
Molecule: ribosomal RNA, 272 nt
Filed under: uncultured soil bacterium
Lineage: Bacteria
Description: partial 16S ribosomal RNA
Rfam family: Bacterial small subunit ribosomal RNA
Source: RNAcentral